Molecule: non-coding RNA, 113 nt
Filed under: Bacillus sp. (in: firmicutes)
Lineage: Bacteria; Bacillati; Bacillota; Bacilli; Caryophanales; Bacillaceae
Also listed under: 1 other name
Description: Bacillus sp. TPP sequence
Rfam family: TPP riboswitch aptamer (THI element)
About the family: Vitamin B(1) in its active form thiamin pyrophosphate (TPP) is an essential coenzyme that is synthesised by coupling of pyrimidine and thiazole moieties in bacteria.
Source: RNAcentral
AUUUUCUACUAGGGGUGUCUGAUUACACAGACUGAGAGAAGAGUUAUUGUGCUCUUUAACCCUCUGAACCUGAUUUGGGUUAUACCAACGUAGGGAAGUAGUCUUGAAAGAAC